RNAcentral lists this ribosomal RNA (465 nucleotides) under Vreelandella stevensii. RNAcentral describes it as "partial 16S ribosomal RNA". It matches the Rfam family "Bacterial small subunit ribosomal RNA", at positions 338 to 795 of the family's 1533-position model. The record is from RNAcentral. Lineage: Bacteria; Pseudomonadati; Pseudomonadota; Gammaproteobacteria; Oceanospirillales; Halomonadaceae.
CCUACGGGCGGCAGCAGUGGGGAAUAUUGGACAAUGGGGGGAACCCUGAUCCAGCCAUGCCGCGUGUGUGAAGAAGGCCCGCGGGUUGUAAAGCACUUUCAGUGAGGAAGAACGCCUGGUGGUUAAUACCCAUCAGGAAAGACAUCACUCACAGAAGAAGCACCGGCUAACUCCGUGCCAGCAGCCGCGGUAAUACGGAGGGUGCGAGCGUUAAUCGGAAUUACUGGGCGUAAAGCGCGCGUAGGUGGCUUGAUAAGCCGGUUGUGAAAGCCCCGGGCUCAACCUGGGAACGGCAUCCGGAACUGUCAAGCUAGAGUGCAGGAGAGGAAGGUAGAAUUCCCGGUGUAGCGGUGAAAUUCGUAGAGAUCGGGAGGAAUACCAGUGGCGAAGGCGGCCUUCUGGACUGACACUGACACUGAGGUGCGAAAGCGUGGGUAGCAAACAGGAUUAGAUACCCGUGUAGUC